This is a long non-coding RNA of Manis javanica (Malayan pangolin), 772 nucleotides long. RefSeq lists it as uncharacterized. The record is from RefSeq and is a predicted model, not a curated record. NCBI's taxonomy places the organism in Eukaryota, Metazoa, Chordata, Mammalia, Pholidota, Manidae.
GCAGGGCCGCUCAUCCACUGCCCUCCCGAGGUGCUGACCGACCCACUGCUUCCCGUGUGCCUGCUCCGGAACCCUGACCGCCCAGAUGUCCUGCCAGCAGAGCCAGCAGCAGUGCCAGCCCCCUCCCAAGUGUCCUGCCCCUAAAUGCCCCCCAAAGUGUCCCCCAAAGUGCCCUCCAGCCUCUUCCUGCUGUAGUGUCAGCUCUGGGGGCUGCUGUGGCCCCAGCUCUGGGGACUGCUGUGGCCCCAGUCUAGGGAGCUGCUGUGGCCCCAGCUCUGGGGGCUGCUGUGGCCCCAGCUCCGGGGCUGGCGGCUGCUUCCUGGGCCACCACAGGCACCACAGAGCCCACUGCCACCGCAGGCACCACAAACCUGCUGACUGCUGCAGCCAGCCCUCGGGGGGCUCCAGCUGCUGCGGAGGGGGCGUGGGUCAGUCCUCCGGAGGCUGCUGCUGAAGCGGACCUGCGCCAACCAGAGCAGACUUGGGGCAGCAAAUGGACAGACACUUCCACUUCCUGCUCUCCCUGGUCUUGCCUAUGGUCCUGAGAUGUCCCAGGGAAGGUUCUGAGCUCUGCGCUCAAAGUUUCAUCUUCCCUGGGCUUCAGAAGCUUAGAUCAUCUCCCAAAAUCUAUGUGCUGAUAUCUGACACCCACUGCGUUGUCUGCCCUGGGAUCCCCAGCCCACAGAGUCCAGUGCACUGCCCAGAUAAUCUGCUAGCAGUGGGCGGCCUCCAGUGAAACAAUAAAAGAAGUGUGCCCACAGUUUUGCUUCUU